UGUAUGAAAUCUUUGGUGUUUUCGACCGUUCUCCUCCGAGACCUCCACCAGUACCGCCCCGGCCGCCGUCGAAUCGUGAUAGCGUGAAAGUAUAGAAACAAGAAACGACCCAAUUCCGAUCCCUCUCAAGCUCUUCAUUUUUUAUGCAAUCCAUAGUUUUUGUCCAUUUUCAAACCUCACACGUUCUUUAUUUUUUCAACGUAAUCACCGCCAUUUUCAGCAGGAAGUUCGCACCCCUAUAUACCGAAUUUGAUAAAAUUCCUAUUUUUUCCUUCUUUCUCGAUUCUGGCUUCAUAAAGCAGACGUGGGAUUGAGCCAGCCAGCCAGGUGUGGAUUUACUGAAUUUGAUGUUUGAAGAUUUUAAUUGAACUGGUUAUUUUUAUCGAAUGGCUAAAUGGCUACUCUUCUCGACUUUACCGCUUGGAAGCCUGCUAUUGUCAUUUGUUAUCCGACUCUUCUCAGCCAUAAUCAAUUGCCGGAGGAACAGGAAGAAAGCUGUGGGAUUCUUCCAUCCUUACACAAAUGAUGGCGGUGGAGGUGAGCGAGUUCUCUGGUGCGCCGUCAAAGCAAUCCAAGAAGAAUCACCCGAUCUUGACUGCGUCAUCUAUACCGGUGAUCAUGAUGCCUCCCCUAAAUCCCUCUCUGCCCGAGCCCUCGAUCGUUUUGGGGUCAAAUUACUCCACUCUCCGAAGGUGGUGCAUCUUUAUAAGAGGAAAUGGGUUGAAGAAACCAUGUAUCCUCGAUUCACUAUGAUUGGUCAGAGCUUUGGUUCAGUGUACCUUUCAUGGGAAGCUUUGUGCAAGUUUACUCCUUUGUAUUAUUUAGAUACCAGUGGAUAUGCAUUUACUUAUCCCAUAGCGCGGUUGUUUGGAUGCAAAGUUAUUAGCUACACACAUUACCCGACAAUCAGUUUAGACAUGCUAACUCGUGUUCAUGCACAAAAUUCUAUGUACAACAAUGAUGCUUCCAUUGCUAAGAGUGCACUGCUGUCAUGGUGCAAAGUCAUCUAUUACAUGAUUUUCAGCUGGAUGUAUGGAAUUGUAGGCUCAUGUGCACACAUUGCAAUGGUGAAUUCCUCAUGGACAAAAUCCCACAUUGAAAAGCUUUGGGGAAUUCCAGCUCGUAUUAAGCUAGUUUAUCCUCCGUGUGAUACUUCCAGGCUUCAGGUGCUACCAUUAGAAAGGCCAAUGCAACCACCAAAGAUUAUAUCUGUCGCUCAAUUUCGUCCAGAGAAGGCACACCCCCUUCAACUUGAGGCAUUUGCAGUUGCUGUAAAAAAUUUAGAUGCAGAUCUGCCCAGACCAAAGCUCCAAUUUGUAGGUAGUUGCAGAAAUGAAGCAGAUGAGAAAAGAUUGCAACACCUCAGGGAUCGAGCUAAUGAGCUGAAAGUGGAAGGUGAUGUGGAGUUCCAUAAAAAUGUGUUGUACAGAUAUAUACUUUUUGGGUUGCUGCAGCGAGCUGGUGAAACUCUUGGGAGGUGCAGCUGUGGGAAUUCACUCCAUGGUAGAUGAGCAUUUUGGCAUAAGCGUAGUGGAGUACAUGGCUUCUGGUGCCAUACCAGUUGCCCAUAAUUCAGCUGGCCCAAAGAUGGACAUUGUCUUACCAGAAGAAGGAACGCAAACAGGAUUUCUAGCUCAGAGUGUGCAAGACUAUGCAGAUGCUAUCCUCAAAAUCAUGACAAUGCCUGAAACAGAGCGGCUUGAGAUGGCUGCUGCUGCUAGGAGACGAGCUUUGAGGUUCUCCAAACGAAGAUUUUCUGAAGAUUUCAAGGCCGCUAUCCGACCAAUCUUGUUUCAUGCCUCUAGAUGAUCUAAAACUAUAUUUGUCACACGUAAAAAGAUCAAGACAAACACAUUCUGGGAGUUCAUCUUUAAAUGAUCCUUAACAGAAGAGAGCUCUAAUGAGUGCUAUGGAUAAUACACUGCUCCUCCCUCGAACAGAUUGGUUAUGCAUAUGGAAAACUGAAGUUAGAUGUAUGUUGUGAUGGUGAAGCUGAGUUUAUAUUAAUGUUGAAAGAGCUGACAGCAAACAGGUUAGACUGGCAUUAUUGAAUGCUCAUAUACACAUAUUUAAAGGAUGAAUGUGAAUACUAAAUUUAUGAAUU
Molecule: RNA transcript, 2104 nt
Organism: Olea europaea var. sylvestris
Lineage: Eukaryota; Viridiplantae; Streptophyta; Magnoliopsida; Lamiales; Oleaceae
Gene name: GDP-Man:Man(3)GlcNAc(2)-PP-Dol alpha-1,2-mannosyltransferase-like
Exons: 8
Source: RefSeq, a predicted model, not a curated record